CCUACGGGAGGCUGCAGUGGGGAAUAUUGGACAAUGGGGGGAACCCUGAUCCAGCCAUGCCGCGUGUGUGAAGAAGGCCCUCGGGUUGUAAAGCACUUUCAGUGAGGAAGAACGCCUGGUGGUUAAUACCCAUCAGGAAAGACAUCACUCACAGAAGAAGCACCGGCUAACUCCGUGCCAGCAGCCGCGGUAAUACGGAGGGUGCGAGCGUUAAUCGGAAUUACUUGGCGUAAAGCGCGCGUAGGUGGCUUGAUAAGCCGGUUGUGAAAGCCCCGGGCUCAACCUGGGAACGGCAUCCGGAACUGUCAAGCUAGAGUGCAGGAGAGGAAGGUAGAAUUCCCGGUGUAGCGGUGAAAUGCGUAGAGAUCGGGAGGAAUACCAGUGGCGAAGGCGGCCUUCUGGACUGACACUGACACUGAGGUGCGAAAGCGUGGGUAGCAAACAGGAUUAGAUACCCGAGUAGUC
RNAcentral lists this ribosomal RNA (465 nucleotides) under Vreelandella stevensii. Its description in RNAcentral is "partial 16S ribosomal RNA". It matches the Rfam family "Bacterial small subunit ribosomal RNA", at positions 338 to 795 of the family's 1533-position model. Lineage: Bacteria; Pseudomonadati; Pseudomonadota; Gammaproteobacteria; Oceanospirillales; Halomonadaceae. The record is from RNAcentral.